Molecule: long non-coding RNA, 155 nt
Organism: Amphimedon queenslandica
Lineage: Eukaryota; Metazoa; Porifera; Demospongiae; Haplosclerida; Niphatidae
Exons: 2
Source: RefSeq, a predicted model, not a curated record
AUGAUUAAUAUUGAUUAUCUGAUUAACUAUGGCCACGGAAGGUUGAAGCUCAAGUAUUGAAUUGUUUUGCGUUGUUGAACAAACACACUAAUUUUAAGCAUUGCUUUUAUAAUUUCUGUUUUGGCUUUACGCUUCAAGAUAUUUGACUUCUAUUA